This 509-nucleotide ribosomal RNA is filed under the name uncultured Glomeraceae. Its description in RNAcentral is "SSU rRNA". It matches the Rfam family "Eukaryotic small subunit ribosomal RNA", at positions 569 to 1078 of the family's 1831-position model. Lineage: Eukaryota; Fungi; Glomeromycota; Glomeromycetes; Glomerales; Glomeraceae. The record is from RNAcentral.
AGCAGCCGCGGUAAUUCCAGCUCCAAUAGCGUAUAUUAAAGUUGUUGCAGUUAAAAAGACUCGUAGUUGAAUUUCGGGAUUAAUUUAUUGGUCGUGCAAUAGUACGUACUGGUAUUAUUGAUUCCUACCUUCUGACGAACCAUGAUGUCAUUAAUUUGGUGUCAUGGGGAAUCAGGACUGUUACUUUGAAAAAUUAGAGUGUUUAAAGCAGGCUCACGCUUGAAUACAUUAGCAUGGAAUAACGAAAUAGGACGUUUGAUUCUAUUUUGUUGGUUUCUAGGAUCGACGUAAUGAUUAAUAGGGAUAGUUGGGGGCAUUAGUAUUCAAUUGUCAGAGGUGAAAUUCUUGGAUUUAUUGAAGACUAACUACUGCGAAAGCAUUUGCCAAGGAUGUUUUCAUUAAUCAAGAACGAAAGUUAGGGGAUCGAAGACGAUCAGAUACCCGUCGUAGUCUUAACCAUAAACUAUGCCGACUAGGGAUCGGAUGAUGUUUAAUUUUUUAAUGACUCA